This 251-nucleotide ribosomal RNA is filed under the name uncultured bacterium. Its description in RNAcentral is "partial 16S ribosomal RNA". It matches the Rfam family "Bacterial small subunit ribosomal RNA", at positions 57 to 305 of the family's 1533-position model. The record is from RNAcentral.
GCAAGUCGAGGGGUAACAGGAAAGCUUGCUUUCGCUGACGACCGGCGCACGGGUGAGUAACGCGUAUAGAACCUACCUUUUACAGGGGAAUAGCCCAGAGAAAUUUGGAUUAAUGCCCUAUAGUAUUAUUGAAUGGCAUCAUUUAGUAAUUAAACAUUUAUGGGUAAAAGAUGGCUAUGCGUUCUAUUAGCUAGAUGGUAAGGAAACGGCUUACCAUGGCAACGAUAGAUAGGGGUCCUGAGAGGGAGAUC